UGAUGGAGCACGCCGCGUGUGUGAUGAAGGGUUUCGGCUCGUAAAACACUGUUGUAAGAGAAGAAUGACAUUGAGAGUAACUGUUCAAUGUGUGACGGUAUCUUACCAGAAAGGAACGGCUAAAUACGUGCCAGCAGCCGCGGUAAU
Molecule: ribosomal RNA, 147 nt
Filed under: uncultured bacterium
Lineage: Bacteria
Description: partial 16S ribosomal RNA
Rfam family: Bacterial small subunit ribosomal RNA
Source: RNAcentral